GUCCACGCUGUAAACGAUGAGAGCUAGUUGUCGGCACGCAUGCGUGUCGGUGACGCAGCUAACGCAUUAAGCUCUCCGCCUGGGGAGUACGGCCGCAAGGUUAAAACUCAAAGAAAUUGACGGGGGCCCCGCACAAGCGGUGGAGCAUGUGGUUUAAUUCGAAGCAACGCGAAGAACCUUACCCACGUUUGACAUGUCUAGUUUGGUCGUCAGAGAUGACUUCCUUCAGUUCGGCUGGCUAGAACACAGGUGCUGCAUGGCUGUCGU
RNAcentral lists this ribosomal RNA (267 nucleotides) under uncultured bacterium. Its description in RNAcentral is "partial 16S ribosomal RNA". It matches the Rfam family "Bacterial small subunit ribosomal RNA", at positions 793 to 1055 of the family's 1533-position model. The record is from RNAcentral.